UACGUAGGGGGCAAGCAUUGUCCGGAUUUACUGGGCGUAAAGAGCGCGCAGGCGGUCGUACAAGUCGCGUGUGAAAGCCCCCGGCUCAACUGGGGAGGGUCACGCGAUACUGUUCGACUCGAAGGCAGGAGAGGGAAGCAGAAUUCCCCGGUGUAGUGGUGAAAUGCGUAGAUAUCGGGAGGAAUACCAGUGGCGAAGGCGGCUUCCUGGCCUGUUCUUGACGCUGAGGCGCGAAAGCUAGGGUAGCAAACGGG
Molecule: ribosomal RNA, 254 nt
Filed under: uncultured bacterium
Lineage: Bacteria
Description: partial 16S ribosomal RNA
Rfam family: Bacterial small subunit ribosomal RNA
Source: RNAcentral